AGCUCCAAUAGCGUAUAUUAAAGUUGUUGCGGUUAAAAAGCUCGUAGUUGGAUUUCUGCCGAGGACAGUCGGUCCGCCCUUGCGGGUGAGUAUCUGAAUGGCCCUUGGCAUCUUCUCUGAAAGUUUUCCUGCACUUCAUUGUGUGGGGAGGUUUUCGGGACCUUUACUUUGAGGAAAUUAGAGUGUUUCAGGCAUGCGCUUGUGGUGAAUACAUUAGCAUGGAAUAAUAAGAUAGGACUCGUGGCCUACUUUGUUGGUUCGUGUGCCAUAGGUAAUGAUUAAUAGGGAUAGUUGGGGGCAUUCGUAUUUAAUUGUCAGAGGUGAAAUUCUUGGAUUUGUUAAAGACGAACUACUGCGAAAGCAUUUGCCAAGGAUGUUUUCAUUG
This 385-nucleotide ribosomal RNA is filed under the name Spatulodinium sp. RNAcentral describes it as "partial small subunit ribosomal RNA". It matches the Rfam family "Eukaryotic small subunit ribosomal RNA", at positions 587 to 975 of the family's 1831-position model. Lineage: Eukaryota; Dinophyceae; Noctilucales; Kofoidiniaceae. The record is from RNAcentral.